CAGCAGCCGCGGUAACACCGAGGGUGCGAGCGUUAAUCGGAUUUACUGGGCGUAAAGCGUGCGUAGGCGGCUUCUUAAGUCGGAUGUGAAAUCCCUGAGCUUAACUUAGGAAUUGCAUUCGAUACUGGGAAGCUAGAGUAUGGGAGAGGAUGGUAGAAUUCCAGGUGUAGCGGUGAAAUGCGUAGAGAUCUGGAGGAAUACCGAUGGCGAAGGCAGCCAUCUGGCCUAAUACUGACGCUGAGGUACGAAAGCAUGGGGAGCAAACAGGAUUAGAUACCCCAGUAGUCCCUGUCUCUUAUAC
This 301-nucleotide ribosomal RNA is filed under the name uncultured bacterium. RNAcentral's name for it is "partial 16S ribosomal RNA". It matches the Rfam family "Bacterial small subunit ribosomal RNA", at positions 509 to 807 of the family's 1533-position model. The record is from RNAcentral.